AGUAGCGGUGAAAUGCGUAGAUAUCUGGAGGAAUACCAAAGGCGAAGGCAGUCCCCUGGUCCGAUACUGACACUGAGGUACGAAAGCGUGGGGAGCAAACAGGAUUAGAUACCCUGGUAGUCCACGCCCUAAACGAUGUCGACUUAGCCAUUGGAAGGACCCCUUUUCCCUUCAGUGACGUAGCUAACGCGUUAAAUCGACGCUGGGAAGUACGACCGCAAGGUUAAAACUCAAAGGAAUUGACGGGGACCUGAACAAGCGGUGAAUGAUGUGGAUUAAUUCGAUGCUACGCGAAGAACCUUACCUACCUUUGACAUGGCCAAAGUUCUACCGAGAGGCGGAAGUACUCGUAAGAGGAUUGGCGCACAGGUGCUGCAUGGUUGUCGUCAGUUCGUGUCGUGAGAUGUUGGGUUCAGUCCCGCAACGAACGCAACCCUUAUCUUUAAUUGCUCCUAUUUUAACAGGCACUUUAAAGAAACUGCCAAUGAUAAGUUGGAGGAAGGUGGGGAUCACGUCAAGUCCGCAUGGCCUUUAUAGGUAGGGCUUCACACGUCAUACAAUGGUUAGAACAAAGAGCUGCAAAUUCGUAAGAAGGAGCCAAUCUCACAAACCUAACCUCAGUUCGAAUUGCGGUCUGCAACUCGAGCGCAUGAAGCCGGAAUCGCUAGUAAUCGUGGAUCAGAAUGCCA
This 689-nucleotide ribosomal RNA is filed under the name uncultured Candidatus Tremblayella sp. RNAcentral's name for it is "bacterial SSU rRNA". It matches the Rfam family "Bacterial small subunit ribosomal RNA", at positions 674 to 1359 of the family's 1533-position model. The record is from RNAcentral. Lineage: Bacteria; Pseudomonadati; Pseudomonadota; Betaproteobacteria.